This 433-nucleotide ribosomal RNA is filed under the name uncultured bacterium. RNAcentral's name for it is "partial 16S ribosomal RNA". It matches the Rfam family "Bacterial small subunit ribosomal RNA", at positions 29 to 507 of the family's 1533-position model. The record is from RNAcentral.
AGCGAACGCUGGCGGCAUGCCUAACACAUGCAAGUCGAACGAGACCUUCGGGUCUAGUGGCGCACGGGUGCGUAACGCGUGGGAACCUGCCUUUAGGUUCGGAAUAACUCAGAGAAAUUUGAGCUAAUACCGGAUGAUGUCUUCGGACCAAAGAUUUAUCGCCUUUAGAUGGGCCCGCGUUGGAUUAGCUAGUUGGUGGGGUAAAGGCCUACCAAGGCGACGAUCCAUAGCUGGUCUGAGAGGAUGAUCAGCCACACUGGGACUGAGACACGGCCCAGACUCCUACGGGAGGCAGCAGCGGGGAAUAUUGGACAAUGGGCGAAAGCCUGAUCCAGCAAUGCCGCGUGAGUGAUGAAGGCCUUAGGGUUGUAAAGCUCUUUUACCCGAGAUGAUAAUGACAGUAUCGGGAGAAUAAGCUCCGGCUAACUCCGUG